Molecule: long non-coding RNA, 898 nt
Filed under: Corvus moneduloides (New Caledonian crow)
Lineage: Eukaryota; Metazoa; Chordata; Aves; Passeriformes; Corvidae
Description: lncRNA (ENSCMUG00000019244.1)
Source: RNAcentral
CCCCACUGGAAUUCCUGUCUCCCCACCCACACUCCCCAGCCCCAUCCCUUGGGGCCCCCAGUUCCCCCCAGUUCACUGUCUUUGGGGCCCCCAAGUCCCACUCCGUUCCCCUCGUCCUUGGAGGCCCCGAAUUCCCCUCGCUCUCCUUGUCUCCAUCCCCACCGUGGUCCCUGCAGGAACAGGGGUCAGGUGAGAAUGGCCGGAGUGGGACUGGGAGGGAGCAGAAGGGAUUUUCCCCCUCAGACCGGGGACUUGGGGACACCUGUGACCCCCGAGCCCCACAAGGGCCAAUCCAGACGAAACCUUUGCUCUGCUUCUGCAGAUAAGCGUAGUAGGAGGCCAAGGUGGAUGCAUUGAGGUAAGUCCUGGAACUGGGGCACCAGUGUGGGAACUGGGGGCCAGUUGGGUCCCCCCAUGCCUUGCUGGGACCAGGGACACUCCAGUGACAUCUCCUCAUCUCUACAGGUAAAGAAAGGCACCCAGCGAGUGAAGCGGUCUGAGGUGGGUACCCAGAGUUCUGCUGGGCCCAGAGCCUCCCCUGUCAUGGUCAUGACCCUCCAGGGCAUCCCAGUGCACGCCAGUACACCCCACUGUGCCUCAGUACACCCCGGCAUGCGCCAGUAUCUCCCAACAUGCCCCAGUAUCCUCCGGUGCUGCUCUAACCCCGUCUUUCUCCCCAGCCCCCCGUGGCUGAGCAGGUGGAGCUUCUGCGGGAGUGAUGCCCGGCUGCCCCUCUGGAUGCCCUGGACUGGAACUGGUGGUGACACUCGCGUCCUGUCCCCCUCCAGCAGCAUGAGGAGAUGAUCAUCCCUGGAUAACCCCCCUGAUCCCCUGGGAGCCCUGGGAAUUUCCCUGGAGUAAUCAAUAAACCCCUACAGCAAAGCAACUCUGUGUGUCC